GCCUUCAACUUGAACUAAUUUAUAAAGCAAGCCAUCCAUCAUUCCAGCGAAGCUGUGGGUUCAUUGGUCGGUUAGAGUUCUGUCUUCAUAUCUCAUUGCCAGCAUAUGGUCUAUGGAGGCUGGAGUAAGUUAUUAGGGUGAAUUGCAGAGAUUUAGAUUCAAAAAUCUCUUAGAAAGCCAAGAAAAUAUUUCUGUUUCAAUACAGUUACAGCAAAAAGACACCAAAUGUGGAUCAAUGGGCAAGGAAAAUUGUUGUUUUCCUUGGAGAUGACAAUGAGAAUAACAGGUGUGCUGACUGUCAGCUUUAUCUGGCGAUAGUGUCAUGACUGAUGACAUGAUGGUAUGUGUGACCUUGAAUAUUCUCAGAAUGCACUGAGAGUGAAGGUGUCACUGAUUCGACAUAAGUGGAAAUUCUGGAGAUUUUGCAAAUUGUAAUUAUCCCAGUUAGUCAAGGGCCAUGGUCAGAUAUGUCUCUGAACUAAAAGAAUGUACCAGCUUAGGGACAAGAGGACUUGAUUUUAAUGAACCUUUCUAAGAAUGGCAGGUUCCCAGUCCAACCAGGAAGUUGUCAAAAGUGGAAACAACUGGCAGGAGAGGAGCUUCCCAGGGGCUCAAAAUCUUUUCAUGGAGAAAAAGCCUUUCAUCGUAAGAUGAAACUCAAGAGUGUCAAACGCAAAUGACUCUUGAUCGUCAUCUAAGCUAGAGUGAAGUGGAACCUCUCUGAGGUAGCUUAUUGAGAAUCCUUGAAGGAGAACUAGGAUUACAGUUACUGUUCUUUAGGCUUAAAAUGAGCUUCAAUCAAGAGGAGGAAGGAAAAUUGCUUAAGUCAGACUCGACAGCUAAAGUUUUCAGCUAUUACAAAUAAAGCUGCUGUGAACAUUCAUGUACAAGUUAUGAGAAUGAAAAGACAAGUCAUAGAUGAGAAAAUAAUUAAUUGCAAAACCUGUAUCUGAAAAACAACUUGUAUCCAGAAUAAAUUAAGAGAUGCUCAUAGCUCAAUAAGAGGAAAGCAAACCACCCAGUAAAAAAUGGGAAAAAGAUUUGAACAGACACUUCACAAAAGAAGAUAUAAGGAUAACAAGCAAAUGAAAAAUUGCUCAAUAGGGAACUAUCCAUGGUCAACAGGGAAAACAAAAAUCAAAAUGAGAUAUCACUACGCAUUUAUUAUAAAACAGUUGGAAAGUUUCUUAAGUUAAACACACGCCUGCCAUAUGAUUCAGUUCUACUUCAACAUACUUACUCAAACUGAAUUUUUAUUUCUGAUUAUUUGGCUGUUUCUUUUAUUAGAGUGUUAGUGUAAGAACCUUGCGUUUAGAAACAUUGUUUUUUAAAUUUUAUUUUAUUUUAUCAUAUCUCUCUAUUUCAUGUGCAUAUUUCUACUUUUAAAGCAAAAUAGGCUGGGCACAGUGGCUCACACCUGUAAUCCCAGCACUUUGGGAGGCCCAGGUGGGCAGAUCAUCUGAGGUCAGGAGUUCGAAACCAGCCUGGCUAACAUGGCAAAACUCUGUCUGUAUUAAAAAAAUACGAAAAUUAACCAGGCAUGGUGGUGCGUGACUAUAAUCCUGGCUACUUGGGAGUCUGAGACAGGAGAAUCGCUUGAACACAGGAGGCAGAGUUUGUAGUGAGUCGAGAUUUUGCCACUGCACUCCAGCCUGGGUGACAGAGCAAGGCUCCAUCUCAGGAAAAAAAAAAAAAAAAAAAAAA
Molecule: long non-coding RNA, 1704 nt
Organism: Macaca mulatta (Rhesus monkey)
Lineage: Eukaryota; Metazoa; Chordata; Mammalia; Primates; Cercopithecidae
Source: Ensembl